CCUACGGGGGGCAGCAGUGGGGAAUAUUGGACAAUGGGGGCAACCCUGAUCCAGCCAUGCCGCGUGUGUGAAGAAGGCCCUCGGGUUGUAAAGCACUCUCAGUGAGGAAGAACGCCUGGUGGUUAAUACCCAUCAGGAAAGACAUCACUCACAGAAGAAGCACCGGCUAACUCCGUGCCAGCAGCCGCGGUAAUACGGAGGGUGCGAGCGUUAAUCGGAAUUACUGGGCGUAAAGCGCGCGUAGGUGGCUUGAUAAGCCGGUUGUGAAAGCCCCGGGCUCAACCUGGGAACGGCAUCCGGAACUGUCAAGCUAGAGUGCAGGAGAGGAAGGUAGAAUUCCCGGUGUAGCGGUGAAAUGCGUAGAGAUCGGGAGGAAUACCAGUGGCGAAGGCGGCCUUCUGGACUGACACUGACACUGAGGUGCGAAAGCGUGGGUAGCAAACAGGAUUAGAUACCCCUGUAGUC
RNAcentral lists this ribosomal RNA (465 nucleotides) under Vreelandella stevensii. RNAcentral's name for it is "partial 16S ribosomal RNA". It matches the Rfam family "Bacterial small subunit ribosomal RNA", at positions 338 to 795 of the family's 1533-position model. The record is from RNAcentral. Lineage: Bacteria; Pseudomonadati; Pseudomonadota; Gammaproteobacteria; Oceanospirillales; Halomonadaceae.